This 84-nucleotide small RNA is filed under the name Mannheimia haemolytica. RNAcentral describes it as "isrK". It matches the Rfam family "isrK Hfq binding RNA". Lineage: Bacteria; Pseudomonadati; Pseudomonadota; Gammaproteobacteria; Pasteurellales; Pasteurellaceae. The record is from RNAcentral.
GCUUUUGCAAAAUCAAAAGCCGAGUGUGGAAACUCGAAAGAACAUCAGGCGAACAAUAGCACGCCUUUAACUCGUGCUUUUUUU